UACGUAGGCAGCAAGCGUUGUUCGGACUUACUGGGCGUAAAGGGUGUGUAGGCGGUUCUUUAAGUUUGGUGUGAAAUCUCCCGGCUCAACCGGGAGGGUGCGCCGAAUACUGAGGGACUAGAGUGUGGGAGAGGAAAGUGGAAUUCCUGGUGUAGCGGUGAAAUGCGUAGAUAUCAGGAGGAACACCGGUGGUGUAGACGGCUUUCUGGACCAUAACUGACGCUGAGACACGAAAGCGUGGGUAGCAAACAGG
This 253-nucleotide ribosomal RNA is filed under the name uncultured bacterium. RNAcentral describes it as "partial 16S ribosomal RNA". It matches the Rfam family "Bacterial small subunit ribosomal RNA", at positions 524 to 776 of the family's 1533-position model. The record is from RNAcentral.